GGACUACAAGGGUUUCUAAUCCUGUUUGCUCCCCACGCUUUCGCACCUCAGCGUCAGUAAUGGACCAGUGAGCCGCCUUCGCCACUGGUGUUCCUCCGAAUAUCUACGAAUUUCACCUCUACACUCGGAAUUCCACUCACCUCUUCCAUACUCAAGAUACCCAGUAUCAAAGGCAGUUCCAGAGUUGAGCUCUGGGAUUUCACCCCUGACUUAAAUAUCCGCCUACGUGCGCUUUACGCCCAGUAAUUCCGAACAACGCUAGCCCCCUUCGUAUUACCGCGGCGGCUGGCAC
RNAcentral lists this ribosomal RNA (292 nucleotides) under uncultured Alphaproteobacteria bacterium. RNAcentral's name for it is "partial 16S ribosomal RNA". The record is from RNAcentral. Lineage: Bacteria; Pseudomonadati; Pseudomonadota; Alphaproteobacteria.